CUGGGUUCUCUGUUCUGUUCCAUUGAUCUAUGUGCAUGUUUUUGUACUAAUACCAUGCUGUUUUAGUUAAUUCUAGUCUUGCAGUAUCAUUUGAAGUUAGACAAUGGGAUACCUCCGGAUUUGUUCUGAGUAGGAUUGCUUUGACUGACUGGGGGGUUUUUUUGUUUUAUAUGAACUUUGGGAG
Molecule: long non-coding RNA, 184 nt
Organism: Sapajus apella (tufted capuchin)
Lineage: Eukaryota; Metazoa; Chordata; Mammalia; Primates; Cebidae
Exons: 3
Source: RefSeq, a predicted model, not a curated record